GUUGCGACCCCAGGUCAGGCGGGACUACCCGCUGAGUUUAAGCAU
RNAcentral lists this ribosomal RNA (45 nucleotides) under Iris pseudacorus. Its description in RNAcentral is "partial 28S ribosomal RNA". The record is from RNAcentral. Lineage: Eukaryota; Viridiplantae; Streptophyta; Magnoliopsida; Asparagales; Iridaceae.